GAAAUGCGAUAGUUAAUGUGAAUUGCAGAAUUCAGUGAAUCAUCGAGUCUUUGAACGCACAUUGCGCCCAUUGGUAUUCCUUUGGGCAUGUCUGUUUGAGCGUCAUUACAACCCCUCAGCUAACGCUGGUUCUGAACUGGGAUGGGUUGACACCCGCACCGGUUUUAAAGUUGUAAGCUCUGCUGGCUGCUCUGCCCCAACCGGAACAUAGUAAGAAAAACUACUUGUUAAGGCGAGGCGACGCGGUACGGCCUGAAAAAAACCUACCCUUCUCUCAGGUUUGACCUCAGAUCAGACAAGGAUACCCGCUGAACUUAA
Molecule: unclassified non-coding RNA, 318 nt
Filed under: uncultured Arthrobotrys
Lineage: Eukaryota; Fungi; Ascomycota; Orbiliomycetes; Orbiliales; Orbiliaceae
Description: partial contains 5.8S ribosomal RNA, internal transcribed spacer 2, and large subunit ribosomal RNA
Rfam family: 5.8S ribosomal RNA (bases 1-105)
Source: RNAcentral